Molecule: ribosomal RNA, 254 nt
Filed under: uncultured bacterium
Lineage: Bacteria
Description: partial 16S ribosomal RNA
Rfam family: Bacterial small subunit ribosomal RNA
Source: RNAcentral
GACGUAGGGGCCGAGCGUUGUCCGGAGUUACUGGGCGUAAAGGGCCCGCAGGCGGCGCGGUGCGCCCGGCGUGAAAGCCCCCGGCCUAACCGGGGAAGGGCGUCGGGGACGGUCGCGCUUGAGGGCAGCAGGGGGUGGUGGAAUGCCCGGUGUAGUGGUGAAAUGCGUAGAGAUCGGGCGGAACACCCGUGGCGAAGGCGGCCACCUGGGCUGUGUCCUGACGCUGAGGGGCGAAGGCGUGGGGAGCGAACGGG